RNAcentral lists this long non-coding RNA (855 nucleotides) under Physcomitrium patens. Its description in RNAcentral is "long non-coding RNA (PPAT_LNC013131)". The record is from RNAcentral. Lineage: Eukaryota; Viridiplantae; Streptophyta; Bryopsida; Funariales; Funariaceae.
AGCUUUGCCAAUGAUAAAAGUAUUUUUCAAUUGUCUUAUUGAUAAUUAAUUGUAUACUUUAAAUACUACUCCAAAACUUUAUUUAUAUGUUGUCGUAAUACAUGAAGUCUUACUUGAGAAUACUCUAGGCACUUGGCUGUGGAAGGUGGAAUGGAAAUUGCAACAAUAAAAUCUUAAUUCUAAUAAAACAUUAACAAUACUAAACAUACUUUAAACAAAUUUAGACAAACCUCAAAGGAAUUCGAAAGAAACAAUAAGAAAUCUUAAAGAAAUAUUAGAAUGAUUAGAAACAUAUCUCAAAUAAAUUUCAAUUUAAUCUUAAUUUAUUCCUAGUUGAAAUCUUAUUAGACUUCAUUCAAACUUUAGGCCAAAAAUUAACUAAAACUUAAAUCCUAAAUAAACUCAAAUAAAAUCCUAAAUCCUAAAUCAAAUCUUGAUCAAACCCUAAGCAAACUUUCAAUCCUAAAUAAAAUUCUAAAUCUUAAAUCAAAUGCUAAAUCCUAAAUCAAAUCCUAAACUCUAACCAAAUCCUAAAUUCUAAACCAAAUCCUAAUCUUAAAUCAAAUCCUAAUCAAAAUCCUAAAUCCUAAACCAAAUCCUAAUUCUAAAUCAAACCCUAACCAAAUCCUAACCAAAUCCUAAUCCUAAAUCAAAUCCUAAAUCAUAAAUCAAAUCCUAAUCCUAAAUCAAAUUCUAAAUCCUAAAUCAAAUCCUAACCAACCAUAAACCAAGUCCUAACCAAAUCCUAAUCCUAAAUCAAAUCCUAACCAAAUCCUAAAUCCUAAAUCAAAUCUUAAUCCUAAAUCAAACCCUAACCAAAUCCUAACCCUAAAUCAAAUCCUAACCAAAUUCUAA